GAUGAAGAACGUAGCGAAAUGCGAUAAGUAAUGUGAAUUGCAGAAUUCAGUGAAUCAUCGAAUCUUUGAACGCACCUUGCGCUCCUUGGUAUUCCGAGGAGCAUGCCUGUUUGAGUGUCAUGAAAUUCUCAACCUUUUCAGCUUUCUUUGUUGAUCAGGCUUGGAUGUGGGAGUAUGCGGGCUUCUCAGAAGUCGGCUCUCCUGAAAUGCAUUAGCGGGACCUUUGUUGCCUGGCUUUGGUGUGAUAAUUGUCUACGCCAUUGUAGUCAAGCAGCUUAAAAUGAGGUUUCAGCUUCUAACCGUCUCCCCUGAGACAACUUUUUGACAAUUUGACCUCAAAUCAGGUAGGACUACCCGCUGAACUUAAGCAUAUCAAUAAGCGGAGGA
This 387-nucleotide unclassified non-coding RNA is filed under the name soil metagenome. RNAcentral describes it as "partial contains 5.8S ribosomal RNA, internal transcribed spacer 2, and large subunit ribosomal RNA". The stretch from base 1 to 120 matches the Rfam family "5.8S ribosomal RNA", at positions 35 to 154 of the family's 154-position model. The record is from RNAcentral.